This 253-nucleotide ribosomal RNA is filed under the name uncultured bacterium. Its description in RNAcentral is "partial 16S ribosomal RNA". It matches the Rfam family "Bacterial small subunit ribosomal RNA", at positions 524 to 776 of the family's 1533-position model. The record is from RNAcentral.
GACGUAGGGCGCGAGCGUUGUCCGGAUUUAUUGGGCGUAAAGAGCUCGUAGGCGGCUUGUCGCGUCGUCCGUGAAAACUUGGGGCUCAACCCCAAGCUUGCGGUCGAUACGGGCAGGCUAGAGUUCGGUAGGGGAGACUGGAAUUCCUGGUGUAGCGGUGAAAUGCGCAGAUAUCCGGAGGAACACCGGUGGCGAAGGCGGCUUCCUGGACCGAUACUGACGCUGAGGCGCGAAAGCUAGGGGAGCAAACGGG